UGAAUACGAGAUGCUACGGCGUCGAAGCAGUCUAUGUCAUACUUCCAAGAAAAGCUUGCACUGUCAUAAACAAAUAAUGCCUGUACCAUAACCGACACAGGUGGGUAGGUAGAGUAUACUAAGGGGCGCGAGAUAACUCUCUCUAAGGAACUCGGCAAAAUGACUCCGUAACUUCGGGAGAAGGAGUGCCUUAUUUAUAAGGUUGCAAUAACAAGAUCCAAGCAACUGUUUACCAAAAACACAGGUCUCCGCUAAGUCGUAAGACGAUGUAUGGGGGCUGACGCCUGCCCAGUGCCAGAAGGUUAAAGAAGUUGGUUAGCAUCCGCGAAGCUGAUAACUGAAGCCCUGGUGAACGGCGGCCGUAACAAUAACGGUCCUAAGGUAGCGAAAUUCCUUGUCGGGUAAGUUCCGACCCGCACGAAAGGCGUAAUGAUUUGGAUACUGUCUCGGAGAGGGGCUCGGUGAAAUAGACUUGUCUGUGAAGAUGCGGACUACCUGCACCAGGACAGAAAGACCCUAUGAAGCUUUACUGUAACCUGAAAUUGAAAUUGGACUUUACUUGCGCAGUAUAGGUGGGAGGCGUUGAGAAUAUUCUUGCGGGAUUAUUGGAGCCAUCAGUGAGAUACCACUCUUGUAAUGUUAGAUUUCUAACUUUGUAUCAUUAUCUGGUCAAAGAACAGUUUCAGGCGGGCAGUUUGACUGGGGCGGUCGCCUCCUAAACGGUAACGGAGGCGCACAAAGGUUUCCUCUGAACGGGUAGAAAUCGUAUCUAGAGUGUAAAGGCAUAAGGAAGCUUGACUGUGAGACCUACAAGUCGAGCAGGGACGAAAGUCGGUCUUAGUGAUCUGACGGUGCUGAGUGGAAAGGCCGUCACUCAACGGAUAAAAGUUACUCUAGGAUAACAGGCUGAUCUCCCCCAAGAGUUCACAUCGACGGGGAGGUUUGGCACCUCGAUGUCGGCUCAUCGCAUCCUGGGGCGGUAGUACGUCCCAAGGGUUGGGCUGUUCGCCCAUGAAAGCGGUACGCGAGCUGGGUUCAGAACGUCGUGAGACAGUUCGGUCCAUAUCCGGUGUAGGCGUUAGAAUAUUGAGAGGAGCCUUCUUUAGUACGAGAGGACCGAGAAGGACAUACCUCUGGUGUACCAGUUAUCGUGCCAACGGUAAACGCUGGGUAGCUAUGUGUGGAGUGGAUAACCGCUGAAAGCAUCUAAGUGGGAAGCCCACCUCAAGAUAAGUAUUCUCAUC
This 1244-nucleotide ribosomal RNA is filed under the name metagenome. RNAcentral describes it as "bacterial LSU rRNA". It matches the Rfam family "Bacterial large subunit ribosomal RNA", at positions 1564 to 2818 of the family's 2925-position model. The record is from RNAcentral.